This 468-nucleotide ribosomal RNA is filed under the name uncultured bacterium. RNAcentral describes it as "partial 16S ribosomal RNA". It matches the Rfam family "Bacterial small subunit ribosomal RNA", at positions 28 to 507 of the family's 1533-position model. The record is from RNAcentral.
GACGAACGCUGGCGGCGUGCUUAACACAUGCAAGUCGAACGGAAAGGCCCUGCUUUUGUGGGGUGCUCGAGUGGCGAACGGGUGAGUAACACGUGAGUAACCUGCCCUUGACUUUGGGAUAACUUCAGGAAACUGGGGCUAAUACCGGAUAGGAGCUCCUGCUGCAUGGUGGGGGUUGGAAAGUUUCGGCGGUUGGGGAUGGACUCGCGGCUUAUCAGCUUGUUUGUGGGGUAGUGGCUUACCAAGGCUUUGACGGGUAGCCGGCCUGAGAGGGUGACCGGCCACAUUGGGACUGAGAUACGGCCCAGACGCCUACGGGAGGCAGCAGUGGGGAAUAUUGCACAAUGGGCGGAAGCCUGAUGUAGCAACGCCGCGUGCGGGAUGACGGCCUUCGGGUUGUAAACCGCUUUCGCCUGUGACGAAGCGUGAGUGACGGUAAUGGGUAAAGAAGCACCGGCUAACUACGUG